This 700-nucleotide ribosomal RNA is filed under the name Enterococcus faecalis. Its description in RNAcentral is "bacterial SSU rRNA". It matches the Rfam family "Bacterial small subunit ribosomal RNA", at positions 46 to 716 of the family's 1533-position model. Lineage: Bacteria; Bacillati; Bacillota; Bacilli; Lactobacillales; Enterococcaceae. The record is from RNAcentral.
GCCUAAUACAUGCAAGUCCGAACGCUUCUUUCCUCCCGAGUGCUUGCACUCAAUUGGAAAGAGGAGUGGCGGACGGGUGAGUAACACGUGGGUAACCUACCCAUCAGAGGGGGAUAACACUUGGAAACAGGUGCUAAUACCGCAUAACAGUUUAUGCCGCAUGGCAUAAGAGUGAAAGGCGCUUUCGGGUGUCGCUGAUGGAUGGACCCGCGGUGCAUUAGCUAGUUGGUGAGGUAACGGCUCACCAAGGCCACGAUGCAUAGCCGACCUGAGAGGGUGAUCGGCCACACUGGGACUGAGACACGGCCCAGACUCCUACGGGAGGCAGCAGUAGGGAAUCUUCGGCAAUGGACGAAAGUCUGACCGAGCAACGCCGCGUGAGUGAAGAAGGUUUUCGGAUCGUAAAACUCUGUUGUUAGAGAAGAACAAGGACGUUAGUAACUGAACGUCCCCUGACGGUAUCUAACCAGAAAGCCACGGCUAACUACGUGCCAGCAGCCGCGGUAAUACGUAGGUGGCAAGCGUUGUCCGGAUUUAUUGGGCGUAAAGCGAGCGCAGGCGGUUUCUUAAGUCUGAUGUGAAAGCCCCCGGCUCAACCGGGGAGGGUCAUUGGAAACUGGGAGACUUGAGUGCAGAAGAGGAGAGUGGAAUUCCAUGUGUAGCGGUGAAAUGCGUAGAUAUAUGGAGGAACACCAGUGGC